CCUAGGGAGGCUGCAGUGGGGAAUAUUGGACAAUGGGCGAAAGCCUGAUCCAGCCAUGCCGCGUGUGUGAAGAAGGCCUUCGGGUUGUAAAGCACUUUCAGUGGGGAAGAAAGCCUUGGGGCUAAUACCCUCGAGGAAGGACAUCACCCACAGAAGAAGCACCGGCUAACUCCGUGCCAGCAGCCGCGGUAAUACGGAGGGUGCGAGCGUUAAUCGGAAUUACUGGGCGUAAAGCGCGCGUAGGCGGUCUGAUAAGCCGGUUGUGAAAGCCCCGGGCUCAACCUGGGAACGGCAUCCGGAACUGUCAGGCUAGAGUGCAGGAGAGGAAGGUAGAAUUCCCGGUGUAGCGGUGAAAUGCGUAGAGAUCGGGAGGAAUACCAGUGGCGAAGGCGGCCUUCUGGACUGACACUGACGCUGAGGUGCGAAAGCGUGGGUAGCAAACAGGAUUAGAUACCCUGGUAGUC
This 464-nucleotide ribosomal RNA is filed under the name Vreelandella stevensii. RNAcentral's name for it is "partial 16S ribosomal RNA". It matches the Rfam family "Bacterial small subunit ribosomal RNA", at positions 338 to 795 of the family's 1533-position model. The record is from RNAcentral. Lineage: Bacteria; Pseudomonadati; Pseudomonadota; Gammaproteobacteria; Oceanospirillales; Halomonadaceae.